This 253-nucleotide ribosomal RNA is filed under the name uncultured bacterium. RNAcentral describes it as "partial 16S ribosomal RNA". It matches the Rfam family "Bacterial small subunit ribosomal RNA", at positions 524 to 776 of the family's 1533-position model. The record is from RNAcentral.
UACGUAGGGUGCAAGCGUUGUCCGGAAUUAUUGGGCGUAAAGAGCUCGUAGGCGGUCUGUCGCGUCUGCUGUGAAAACUCGGGGCUUAACCCCGGGCCUGCAGUGGGUACGGGCAGACUAGAGUGCGGUAGGGGAGACUGGAAUUCCUGGUGUAGCGGUGAAAUGCACAGAUAUCAGGAGGAACACCGGUGGCGAAGGCGGGUCUCUGGGCCGUAACUGACGCUGAGGAGCGAAAGCAUGGGGAGCGAACAGG